This is a long non-coding RNA of Notothenia coriiceps (black rockcod), 1443 nucleotides long. RefSeq lists it as uncharacterized. NCBI's taxonomy places the organism in Eukaryota, Metazoa, Chordata, Actinopteri, Perciformes, Nototheniidae. The record is from RefSeq and is a predicted model, not a curated record. The transcript is spliced from 2 exons.
GAAAUGUAUGCCUUCAUGUGUUAAUGUUUGCAUUUGAUCCAAUUGCAGCAUGACGGCCAGCCCUACUGCCACAAACCCUGCUACGCUGUUCUCUUCGGGCCCAAAGGCGUGAACACUGGUGGUGUUGGCAGCUACAUCUAUGAGAAGGAGCCCAGUGCAGUGACCCAGCCUUGAACCUUUUGUCCCCUCAGCUUCAUCCCUCCUCUUCUCUACACAACACUGACCAUCAACCACAGUAUUAUUCGUCCUCUUCCUCCCACCUGGCGCUCAUACCUGAGACAAAUUAUCCCUUUUCUCCUUUAUUCUGACCCGCUCCCAGCUGAUUUAGUACCAGGAGGAAUGAUUUUAAAUGGCCUAAACAUGUGUUGUAUAAUACAUUUGCUCUGGGAGAGCCACACCAAGCAUUCCCACAGGUAUUACAAGUAAUUUAAUGCCAUGUUUACACAUUUAUAAACGUAUGAGAACACAUUCAAUGUCACCACAGUCAAAUACGAAGGUCCUAUAUUUCAAUUUUGUAGCCUGACAACAGUGUGAUUGAGGAUAUCCGGUUUGAGGUGACUUGUGUUUAACAAAAAUGUGACAGAGAUUGAUUCUUGGGUGUGGAGAAGUGCCUUCUGGCUGGAGGUGGAGGUGUAGCGCGUUGACAGCCGGAGGAAUUACGCCUUGGAGGCACAGGUGGUGCUCAGAAUCAGGUUGCCAAUAAAUGUGUAUUUUAAAAAUGCCAUAUUUACCUUUUGCCCGCCUGUCAACAUUCCUUAUUUUAAAAGAAAUUACAACAAAUCCCAACAUAUUGCAAAAAAGGUGGGAAAGUGGACCUGUUAGGCGACUGUUACAUGACUUCCAACACAUCCACAACGCUGUAUUGAGUCAACAUGAAUUUAUUCUAAUUUUAAGCAUAUGUUAUUAACCUGUUUUAAUGUCAAAAUCUGGUUUAUGUGCUAAUAAACAACAAAACCGUCCAUUUCCAAAAUGAGGCAGAAUGUGGAUGGGGUUUUCUAAACGGAGGAAUGUGGGUUGCCAGAUAAGAAACAAGUAUUUAUUGCUUCAAAUUAAGUCCUUCAAAUUUAAUUAGCCAUUGUACUGCUGCCCUUUAUGGGACUGAUUGUGAAGGAGGUCAAACAGGGCAAUGUAAGCUGUAAAAAAUCUCUACAACUAAGAUGUUUUAUUGUUAAUUAUAAACAAAUAACCCGGCUGUUAUUUUCCGAGAAAUGAAGCGCUAUUUGAAGUAUUUGUUGCCGUUAGCAGUAGCUUAGCUUGUAGACACACUGCAGACAAGUCAUUCUGUGAGAAUGUGCAUCCUAGUAUUAUCGUAAGACUGUUACUGUGUUUGUUUAAUACCUGUCGUACAUCGUAGGGCUCACUGUUUGUAGAAUGAGACGCUGCACUUCAGCCCUGCUGCAUUUUGUCUUUUUAAUUCCUUGAAUAAAUAUGUAAUAAACUCUU